Molecule: unclassified non-coding RNA, 331 nt
Filed under: uncultured fungus
Lineage: Eukaryota; Fungi
Description: partial contains 5.8S ribosomal RNA, internal transcribed spacer 2, and large subunit ribosomal RNA
Rfam family: 5.8S ribosomal RNA (bases 1-52)
Source: RNAcentral
AACGCAUAUUGCGCUCUCUGGUAUUCCGGAGAGCAUGCUUGUUUGAGUAUCAGUAAACACCUCAAGAUCUCUAUUGAGAUUUUGGAUUUGAGUGAACCCAAUCUUGAAUAAAGAGUCGGGUCACUUGAAAUGCAGGUGCGGCUGAAACUUUCUUUCUGAGCUAAAAGCAUUAUUCAUUUAGUCCUUUUCAAUAAGGAUUAUUACUUUUUUUUGCUGCAGCUAAUAUAAAGGAUUGAAAGGAGAGCUGACUGAUGCAGGAAUUUCACAGAGAGUUUCUUAACUCUUUGUUAAACUCGAUCUCAAAUCAAGUAAGAUUACCCGCUGAACUUAA